CGGGUCGUAGUCCAGGGCGAGGUCUUUCGGGUCCGCACCGAAAUCGUACGCAAGGCGGGCGAGGGUCCGGUAUCCCCUGACUUGU
RNAcentral lists this transfer RNA (85 nucleotides) under Arthrobacter sp. StoSoilB5. RNAcentral's name for it is "tRNA-Arg". The record is from RNAcentral. Lineage: Bacteria; Bacillati; Actinomycetota; Actinomycetes; Micrococcales; Micrococcaceae.